CCUACGGGAGGCAGCAGUCGAGAAUCAUUCACAAUGGGGGAAACCCUGAUGGUGCGACGCCGCGUGGGGGAAUGAAGGUCUUCGGAUUGUAAACCCCUGUCAUGUGGGAGCAAAUUAAAAAGAUAGUACCACAAGAGGAAGAGACGGCUAACUCUGUGCCAGCAGCCGCGGGAAUACAGAGGUCUCAAGCGUUGUUCGGAAUCACUGGGCGUAAAGCGUGCGUAGGCUGUUUCGUAAGUCGUGUGUGAAAGGCGCGGGCUAAACCCGCGGACGGCCCAUGAUACUGCGAGACUAGAGUAAUGGAGGGGGAACCGGAAUUCUCGGUGUAGCAGUGAAAUGCGUAGAUAUCGAGAGGAACACUCGUGGCGAAGGCGGGUUCCUGGACAUUAACUGACGCUGAGGCACGAAGGCCAGGGGAGCGAAAGGGAUUAGAUACCCGUGUAGUC
Molecule: ribosomal RNA, 446 nt
Filed under: uncultured bacterium
Lineage: Bacteria
Description: partial 16S ribosomal RNA
Rfam family: Bacterial small subunit ribosomal RNA
Source: RNAcentral